UUAAAGUUUGAUUCUAGCUUGAAAUAAUUCUAAAAAAAGAGCUUACUAUGCAAAUUCAAUUGAAAAUUAUCUAUAAUUUAUAUUAUAAUGAAGGCGCAGUACUUAAAAUUGUUUUACUUAAAUUAAGAUUCAGUUAUCAUUUUAAUGAUUGAUUAAAUUUGUGCCAGCAGUCGCGGUCAUACAAGAAUUCAGGGAAUUUCUGUUCGGUGAAAUUAAAUUUUUUUUUUUAAUAUAGGAGCUAUAGGUUUUAUUAGGGGUAGAAUCUUAAGGCCUAUAUUAAAUAAAGUAAAUUCAUUUCUAUUAAACAUAAAGACCUGGAUUAGAUACCCAGUUAUUAAUUAGUAGUUUUUACCAUGGUAGUAGUUGGGAAACCUAAAGAAUUUGGCGGUGAACUAUCCUGAUAGGGGAACUUGUCUCUUGAUUGAUAAUCCCCAAAGAUCUUACUCWUUUUUUAUUUAUAUAUCGUUGUUUAGAUAUAAAUCUAAUUUUUUGUCUUUAAUUUUAUUCAAGAAAAUUAAAUCAAAUCAAGGUUUAGUUAUGAAGGAGGUGGGAUGAGUUACAGUUACUUAAGUUUUGGAUUGAUAAUGAAUUGACUCAUAAAAGAGGACUUAUAAGUAAUAUUUAAAUAAAAUUAAUAUAUUAUGAAAAGGCUCUAGUUUAUGUACAAAUCGCCCGUCACUCUCGUUAUUUUAUGAGAUAAGUCGUAACAAAGUGGAUUUACUGGAAAGUGCUUCUAGAUAGGC
Molecule: non-coding RNA, 743 nt
Filed under: Lipothrix lubbocki
Lineage: Eukaryota; Metazoa; Arthropoda; Collembola; Symphypleona; Sminthuridae
Source: RNAcentral